This 490-nucleotide ribosomal RNA is filed under the name uncultured bacterium. RNAcentral's name for it is "partial 16S ribosomal RNA". It matches the Rfam family "Bacterial small subunit ribosomal RNA", at positions 30 to 507 of the family's 1533-position model. The record is from RNAcentral.
AUUGAACGCUGGCGGCAGGCCUAACACAUGCAAGUCGAAUGGUAACAGGAAACAGCUUGCUGUUUCGCUGACGAGUGGCGGACGGGUGAGUAAUGUCUGGGAAACUGCCUGAUGGAGGGGGAUAACUACUGGAAACGGUAGCUAAUACCGCAUAACGUCGCAAGACCAAAGAGGGGGACCUUCGGGCCUUUUGCCAUCAGAUGUGCCCAGAUGGGAUUAGCUAGUAGGUGGGGUAACGGCUCACCUAGGCGACGAUCCCUAGCUGGUCUGAGAGGAUGACCAGCCACACUGGAACUGAGACACGGUCCAGACUCCUACGGGAGGCAGCAGUGGGGAAUAUUGCACAAUGGGCGCAAGCCUGAUGCAUCCAUGCCGCGUGUAUGAAGAAGGCCUUCGGGUUGUAAAGUACUUUCAGCGGGGAGGAAGGGAGUAAAGUUAAUACCUGUGCUCAUUGACGUUACCCGCAGAAGAAGCACCGGCUAACUCCGUG